Molecule: long non-coding RNA, 567 nt
Organism: Corvus hawaiiensis (hawaiian crow)
Lineage: Eukaryota; Metazoa; Chordata; Aves; Passeriformes; Corvidae
Exons: 2
Source: RefSeq, a predicted model, not a curated record
AUGUCAGGAAAAGAGGAAGUUACCUCAGAAAAUUGGGAAAAAUGAGGGAAUUACCUCAGAAAAGGGUGGGAAAUGAGAGAAUCAGUGCAGAAAAUGGGGAAAAAUGAGGGAAUUACCUCAGAAAAGGGCGGGAAAUGAGAGAAUUGCCUCAGAAAAUGAGAAAAAAUGAGGGAAUUACCUCAGAAAAGGGCAGGAAAUGAGAGAAUCAGCGCAGAAAAUGGGAAAAAAUGAGGGAAUUAACUCAGAAAAUGUCAGGAAAAGAGGAAGUUACCUCAGAAAAUGGGGAAAAAUGAGGGAAUUACCUCAGAAAAGGGUGGGAAAUGAGAGAAUCAGUGCAGAAAAUGGGGAAAAAUGAGGGAAUUACCUCAGAAAAGGGCGGGAAAUGAGAGAAUUGCCUCAGAAAAUGGGGAAAAAUGAAGGAAUUACCUCAGAAAAGGGCAGGAAAUGAGAGAAUCAGCGCAGAAAAUGGGGAAAAUGAGGGAAUUACCUCAGAAAAGGAAAAAAUGAGGGAAUUACCUCAGAAAAGGGCGGGAAAUGAGAAAAUCAGCGCAGAAAAUGGGGAAAAAU